RNAcentral lists this ribosomal RNA (366 nucleotides) under uncultured bacterium. RNAcentral's name for it is "bacterial SSU rRNA". It matches the Rfam family "Bacterial small subunit ribosomal RNA", at positions 32 to 390 of the family's 1533-position model. The record is from RNAcentral.
AAUCAACGCUGGCGGCGUGCCUCAGACAUGCAAGUCGAACGAUUAAAGCUCUCUUCGGAGAGUGCAUAAAGUGGCGCACGGGUGAGUAACACGUAAGUAAUCUACCUUCGAGUGGGGAGUAACGUCCGGAAACGGACGCUAAUACCGCAUAAUGCAGCGGCAUCGCAAGAUGACAGUUGUUAAAGAUUUAUCGCUUGAAGAGGAGCUUGCGGCAGAUUAGCUAGUUGGUAAGGUAAUGGCUUACCAAGGCUACGAUCUGUAACCGGUCUAAGAGGACGGUCGGUCACACUGACACUGAAUAACGGGUCAGACUCCUACGGGAGGCAGCAGUCGGGAAUUUUGGGCAAUGGGCGAAAGCCUGACCCA